GCGGAGGUAAUUCAGUGGUAGAAUGUCACCCUUCCAAGGUGAACGUCGAGAGUUCGAAUCUCUUCCUCCGCU
This 72-nucleotide transfer RNA is filed under the name bacterium. Its description in RNAcentral is "tRNA-Gly". It matches the Rfam family "tRNA". From Rfam's summary of the family: Transfer RNA (tRNA) molecules are approximately 80 nucleotides in length. The record is from RNAcentral.